GAGUUUGAUCCUGGCUCAGGACGAACGCUGGCGGCGUGCUUAACACAUGCAAGUCGAACGAUGAAGUUAUGACGGAGGCUUCGGCCGACUGAAUGAUGGAUUAGUGGCGGACGGGUGAGUAACGCGUGAGGAACCUGCCUCAAAGAGGGGGACAACAGUUGGAAACGACUGCUAAUACCGCAUAAGCCCACGGGUCGGCAUCGACCAGAGGGAAAAGGAGCAAUCCGCUUUGAGAUGGCCUCGCGUCCGAUUAGCUAGUUGGUGAGGUAACGGCCCACCAAGGCAACGAUCGGUAGCCGGACUGAGAGGUUGAACGGCCACAUUGGGACUGAGACACGGCCCAGACUCCUACGGGAGGCAGCAGUGGGGAAUAUUGCACAAUGGGGGAAACCCUGAUGCAGCGACGCCGCGUGGAGGAAGAAGGUCUUCGGAUUGUAAACUCCUGUUGUUGGGGAAGAUAAUGACGGUACCCAACAAGGAAGUGACGGCUAACUACGUGCCAGCCGCCGCGGUAAUAC
Molecule: ribosomal RNA, 518 nt
Filed under: uncultured bacterium
Lineage: Bacteria
Description: bacterial SSU rRNA
Rfam family: Bacterial small subunit ribosomal RNA
Source: RNAcentral